CAAGUCGAGCGAACAGACGAGGAGCUUGCUCCUCUGACGUUAGCGGCGGACGGGUGAGUAACACGUGGAUAACCUACCUAUAAGACUGGGAUAACUCCGGGAAACCGGAGCUAAUACCGGAUAAUAUAUUGAACCGCAUGGUUCAAUAGUGAAAGACGGUUUUGCUGUCACUUAUAGAUGGAUCCGCGCCGCAUUAGCUAGUUGGUAAGGUAACGGCUUACCAAGGCAACGAUGCGUAGCCGACCUGAGAGGGUGAUCGGCCACACUGGAACUGAGACACGGUCCAGACUCCUACGGGAGGCAGCAGUAGGGAAUCUUCCGCAAUGGGCGAAAGCCUGACGGAGCAACGCCGCGUGAGUGAUGAAGGUCUUCGGAUCGUAAAACUCUGUUAUUAGGGAAGAACAAAUGUGUAAGUAACUAUGCACGUCUUGACGGUACCUAAUCAGAAAGCCACGGCUAACUACGUGCCAGCAGCCGCGGUAAUACGUAGGUGGCAAGCGUUAUCCGGAAUUAUUGGGCGUAAAGCGCGCGUAGGCGGUUUUUUAAGUCUGAUGUGAAAGCCCACGGCUCAACCGUGGAGGGUCAUUGGAAACUGGAAAACUUGAGUGCAGAAGAGGAAAGUGGAAUUCCAUGUGUAGCGGUGAAAUGCGCAGAGAUAUGGAGGAACACCAGUGGCGAAGGCGACUUUCUGGUCUGUAACUGACGCUGAUGUGCGAA
RNAcentral lists this ribosomal RNA (717 nucleotides) under uncultured Staphylococcus sp. Its description in RNAcentral is "bacterial SSU rRNA". It matches the Rfam family "Bacterial small subunit ribosomal RNA", at positions 58 to 757 of the family's 1533-position model. The record is from RNAcentral. Lineage: Bacteria; Bacillati; Bacillota; Bacilli; Caryophanales; Staphylococcaceae.